This 510-nucleotide ribosomal RNA is filed under the name uncultured Sphingobacteriales bacterium. Its description in RNAcentral is "bacterial SSU rRNA". It matches the Rfam family "Bacterial small subunit ribosomal RNA", at positions 912 to 1382 of the family's 1533-position model. The record is from RNAcentral. Lineage: Bacteria; Pseudomonadati; Bacteroidota; Sphingobacteriia; Sphingobacteriales.
CCGUUCGCCACGCCCGACUCAAGAACACAAACGGAAGUUAGACGGGGGCCCGGCCGACAAGCGGUGGAGGCAUGUGGUUUAAUUCGAUGAUACGCGAGGAACCUUACCUGGCUCAAAUGUAUGUUGACGUAUUCUGAAAGGGAUACUUCUUCGGACAAUAUACAAGGUGCUGCAUGGUUGUCGUCAGCUCGUGCCGUGAGGUGUCGGGUUAAGUCCCAUAACGAAGCGCAACCCUAUCAUUAGUUGCCAUCAGGUCAAGCUGGGGACUCUAAUGAAACUGCCUACGCAAGUAGUGAGGAAGGUGGGGAUGACGUCAAAUCAGCACGGCCCUUACGUCCAGGGCUACACACGUGCUACAAUGGCCGGUACAAAGGGCAGCUACCUGGUGACAGGAUGCUAAUCUCAAAAGCCGGUCUCAGUUCGGAUCGGAGUCUGCAACUCGACUGCGUGAAGUCGGAAUCGCUAGUAAUCGUGAAUCAGAAUGUCACGGUGAAUACGUUCCCGGGCCUU